UGGCCUCCAUAGACAGUGUUUCCC
This 24-nucleotide non-coding RNA is filed under the name Mus musculus (house mouse). The record is from RNAcentral. Lineage: Eukaryota; Metazoa; Chordata; Mammalia; Rodentia; Muridae.